GAUCUUGGUUCAGGAUGAACGCUAGCUACAGGCUUAACACAUGCAAGUCGAGGGGUAGCAGGGUCUAGCAAUAGAUCGCUGACGACCGGCGCACGGGUGAGUAACACGUAUCCAACCUUCCGUUUACUCGGGGAUAGCCUUUCGAAAGAAAGAUUAAUACCCGAUAGUAUGCUUUUCCCGCAUGGGGGAAUCAUUAAAGUUUUUCGGUAAUCGAUGGGGAUGCGUUCCAUUAGGCAGUUGGUGAGGUAACGGCUCACCAAACCUUCGAUGGAUAGGGGUUCUGAGAGGAAGGUCCCCCACAUUGGAACUGAGACACGGUCCAAACUCCUACGGGAGGCAGCAGUGAGGAAUAUUGGUCAAUGGACGAGAGUCUGAACCAGCCAAGUAGCCGUGAAGGAUGACUGCCCUAUGGGUUGUAAACUUCUUUUAUAUGGGAAUAAAGGAGCCUACGUGUAGGUUUUUGUAUGUACCAUACGAAUAAGGAUCGGCUAACUCCGUGCCAGCAGCCGC
RNAcentral lists this ribosomal RNA (510 nucleotides) under uncultured bacterium. RNAcentral describes it as "bacterial SSU rRNA". It matches the Rfam family "Bacterial small subunit ribosomal RNA", at positions 15 to 518 of the family's 1533-position model. The record is from RNAcentral.